UUGAGGAUUUGGGAAUUUUUUUUUGGUGCUUUUUUUGGGUCUGGUUCUCGUUGGAGUUUUUGGGAUUUUGGGAGGAUUUUUGUGGCGAUUUUGGCGGAUUUUUGGGGAAUUUUUGUGGUUUUGUGGCUGAUUUUUUUGAGAUUUUUGGGGAUUUUUUAAAAUUAUUUUUGGGUGUUUAUUUGGUGGAUUUGUGGAAUUUUUUUUCUGAAUUUUGAGAGAUUUUUUGGCGAUUUUUGGGAGAUUUUUUGGCCAUUUUUGAGGGAUUUUUGGGGGCAUUUUUUAGUGAUUUUUUGUGGAGAUUUUUAGCGAUUUUUGGGGGCGUUUUUUGGCGAUUUUGGGGGGAUGUUUGGACCAUUUUUGGAGGAUAUUGUGGCGAUUUCUUUGGUGAUUUUUGGCGAAUUUUUUGGGGUUUUUUUGGGAAUUUUUAGAGGAUUUAUUGGCGAUUUUUUGGGGAGAUUUAUAGCGAUUAUUGGAGUAUUUUUAGGGGAUUUAUUGGCGAUUUUUUGGGGAAUUUUUGGGAGAUUUAUUGGCGAUUUUUUGGGGAGAUUUUUAGCGAUUAUUGGCGUAUUUUUAGGGGAUUUAUUGGCGAUUUUUGAGGGAAUUUUCGGCGAUCAUUUGAGAAGCCUUUUGGCCAUUUUUUGGUGAUUUUUGGCUGGUGGCUCAUUAACCCUUUCCACGCCAACUCUCAUUGGCCAACACCU
Molecule: long non-coding RNA, 701 nt
Filed under: Zonotrichia albicollis (white-throated sparrow)
Lineage: Eukaryota; Metazoa; Chordata; Aves; Passeriformes; Passerellidae
Description: lncRNA (ENSZALG00000000298.1)
Source: RNAcentral